CUUGAGUCCAGUACUGAAGAGCCCAACACCACAACUCCAUCUACCGGUUGUACCACAACCCAUGCCAUGCACCUCGCUAGAAGAGAGAAAAGGCAGGACAGCAUUCAGCACUGGGAGCAGUUUUGCAACAGCAGAAGCAACAGCAUUCUCUAGCCGUGGUAGCGGGUAUCUCCCAAGAAGCAAAGCUGCCAGUACUCACGCAAAUAUUGGAAAUGAUGGGAAAGUGACAGACCUGUUCAUCUAAACAGCAGAGGCUCUGGCACAAAAGCAGCAGACAGUUCGAUACUGCUAAGAGCAGCGUGAUCUACACUGCAGAUCAUGGCCAGGCUGCUGCCAACCAAGCAACAGUGCAGCGUGGCCACCUGCUUUGAUCUGUUUCCCUUGAUCUCCAAAUGAAUGGAUGACUGUGUUGAUGCAGGGUAAUGUCUUUGCCUUUCAUUUCUCAUGGCUUUUUGAUAUUACCAGUUGCCAGUAGUGUCAGUAUGUCAGUUCUGAAUGGCUUUUAAUUUUUUUUUUUUUAAAUCAUUUUGGUUCUUCUUGACAAAAUGAGUCCAAUCCGUGUUGGCAGCACUAAUUGUCCUACAUCUAAAUCUACAGUUAUAUGUCUGAGCAAGAGUCAUCUGGACAAUUGCACAAAACAUGCACAUUUUUGUUGCGAAAGGAACUAGAAGCUUUUUCAAUGAUACUUUAAUGCUGUAAGGCUUUUAGUAGAUCAGACAAAUUGAAGUUGAGUUGGAUAAAAAUUCAUCUACUUCAAAGAAUUAAGGCUCUGUAGAAAUAGGGGGUUAUAAUUGUCAUGGCAAGGAUUGCUCGGAAUUACAUAAAUUUUCUGCUUUCUGUCAAGGCUAUUAAAAAAUAAAUAGGAACACGAUGAAGAAAAAGAGGAUCAUUUUUCUCACAUAUUUGUGUUCUAGCUGUAAUUGAAAAUGUUUAGUAAAAAGCAUGCAAAAGUUUAUCAGCCCUCCAAUAAUAACUCAAGACCUAAGUACUUCCUUAAUAUACCUGAACAGGCUGUAAGAGACUUUUUUGUUUGGAGUACUAACAUCCAUUAACAAGGAAGAUUUCCAUGUGUAAAAUGCACUUUGAGAGAAAAAGCUCCCCAAAGAGGGACAAGACUCACUAAUUCUUGUAAAAUAUUAAUUAUAAAAAUAAUAACAGCCACCCAGGCAUUUAUCAAUCUAGGAUUUCAAACCGUUAAUUGAAAUUCCUUUCACAAACAUCUGUAUUUUUGCUUUGCCUCCUGCCACAUUCUCUUUUGCCCUCCAAGCCUACCACUAUCUUAAGAGCAUCCUAUUUUCCUGAACCUUUCCUCAUUUUCCCCAAACACGUGCCGUAACUAACUUAUUCUUCUGUUGUACCAAAGCAGCAUUUUGUGGGGAUGCAAUGCAAGAUGGCUCCCAGAAAUGGACUGGCUGAAAGGAGGCAGAGAAGGGAAAGGGAUUUUGUGUUCCCUCUGCACACCUUGUCUGGGUUGGCUCACUGAUUCAGUUAUAGAAAACACCACCAUAAACUGGCACUGUCACAGUGCUGCAGGGAGCAGAAAACACACACACACACAAAAAUAAACAGAAGCACAUGCUAGCAAAUUACACAUGGGGAACAAACUGAUGGAUAUGUUACCUUCUCACUGAUUUUUACUUUUUGUACUGUAGAAGACCUAGGGCUAGCUGUCAUAGACAGACUAAGCAAAAUCACCACCUUUAAGUAAUACCCAGAUUGCAAAAUAGCUCCAAAACAAAAUGGAACAUAUGUAAUCACAAACAAGCCCACAGAUAAACAACUGUCAGGUUACACAUUAUCAGUGCAAGGCUGCUGUGUGGGAGGAGUAGGGGGGAAAGAAAUAGAUUGUUACUGUAAACGUGAUCAAAAUGGCAGAGCAACCAGAGGGAAAAAAAGUCCAACAAAAUUUCAUGAAAGACAUCCAAACUGAAACUAAUCUAAAAAAGGAAUAAAGCCUUCAAAUUUGUUUGUUUGCCCUGUAGCUCUGAAGAAGUAAAAUAUGAAAUAAUAUUUCUGCAAUGCCUUCCUCCCUGGAUUGCUCCAGGUUUAAUACUUGUCAACAGCAGUAAUGUUCAGUGCAGCCAGCCCCGAACCAGACGCUGUAUGUCUUUCUGCUUCUGUAUCCGCUGCUGAAAAUGCAGCUUCAGCCAUACAAGCACAGCAUAAAAAGCCCCAACAUCUCCCAGUCCUCUUUCCUCCUUCCUGGUUAUUCCCUUGUAAAGUACUGAAAAUUCAAUAUUAGACAGCUUAUAACUAAAAAAAAAAAUAAAUCUGAUGCUUCAUCUAUGUCAAAAAUGACAAGUUCCUAGGUUUCUCAGCUCUGUUUUGCCCAGCUUGAUUCUGAUACGAUGAAGCUGGUACCUGCAAUAUGUGAUGCAGGAAAAUUUAAUUGUUAAAUGUGAUCUCACCAUUAAGUGCAGUUAUUCUUGGUUAGGGUAACACAGCAUAAGAAUGGUAAAUAUGCAAAAUACCCUAAUUUGUAGAUGCUGUCCCACAAAUCCAUGAUAGCCAGAACUUAGUAAGUAGCCUAUUUACAUUUCCUGAAAUAAUCACAAAUGAUUCAGUAAAUAAAAUAAAGUAAAACCCCAAACAGUAGAAAGAUAAAUUAAAACCCUAAACAGCAGAAAGCCGUUGCAGUGGACCUGACUGAGGAAUGAAGCAAUUAAAGGCUGACUAUGCUAUUUCUACCCAGAAAUAAAUGUCUGGAUUUCAGCAUCAAGUCAGUGUGAUUCUGGAGAAGCUCUGCACUGUAAGCUGUUUAGCACUUGUCCAGGAAAUAAAACACACAGCUUAGUCUUUGCAUUGGCUUUCUCAUACGUGAUAUGGGGCGAUGACUUUGCACUGAUAGGCAGUAUCUGCUGUUUAGUUAUUUGGUCUUACGAGUACUGGCUUUCCACAUCAGGAGGUCUGAAAAUGUUUCCACUGCCAUACGCACGAAUGAGUUGAAGCGGGGAGUACAGAUUGCUGUUUCUAAGUACAUGACUUGGCUAAAAUAAAUAAAUAAAAAUAAUAAAAAACAUAUCAAUGUAUCACUUUUACAGUGCGUUAAAAGAGAAGAAAAACUGUUAGACGUGUUUAUUUGUUUGAAAACUGGUCCAUUUUACUAUUUCCAAACAUUUUCAGAUUUAAAUGCAGUUUCUCAAGGUCUUUAAAGUGAGAAAAACAUUCCCAGGUGAACAUAAACCACACCAAGCAGAAAUCAAGGCACAAAAGCUACCAAAACCAGACAGUGUCUUGCCCAGGGUGUGUGCAUCUGCACAGAUGAAUCUGAAGCACAGAAUAUUAUUUGAAAGGCUUCAAAAGAUACAUUCCAUGCUAAGAAUAUUAUGACUAUGCUUCUAAUGUGCAAGAGCCACCUAAGAAGUGACCAGUAGAAGUCAAACAUCACCAAGCUGCCAUAGCCAUACACAAUAUGCCUCAAAAUGACCUCAGUGUUUUCUUAAAAUUCUGCAAAGUCAUUCUCUGUUUCCCUACCCUCAUUGGAAGCCAUAAAAGUAAAAAAAAAAAAAAAAAACAAACAAACAAAACACCAAACUAAUUUGUAAUUAUUAUAAGGUUGGGAGAUUGGUGAAGGGGGUGGGCAGCUGAGCUUUUUCGAUUUGGAGAGUUUUACAACACACUUGGAAAGUGCUAGAAGAUGUAUGGCAACUGCAACCCAAAACAUCACAAAUUUUUCUGUGUUUCAAGACAAAAUUUAACUUCCAUUUAUUUAAGACUCUCUGAUAUUUAUAUGCAACCUGUCACUGAUUUUCAGACACCACUCCUCAUGUUUAAUGCUGUUAGAUCAUUUCUAGAAAAUGGUAGGUUUGUUUAAUGUAAGCCUGUCACUGCACAGCAGAGUUGGUGGCUGUCAAUGAUACUCUGAAGAUACUUACUGUAGUCAAAGUCUAUGGAGGCAAAUUGUUGUUAAAAG
Molecule: long non-coding RNA, 3913 nt
Organism: Centrocercus urophasianus (Greater sage-grouse)
Lineage: Eukaryota; Metazoa; Chordata; Aves; Galliformes; Phasianidae
Exons: 3
Source: RefSeq, a predicted model, not a curated record